CACCAUGUCACUCUGCACAUGAAAUGUGCUGCCCUGCAUGACUUCAGGUGCAACUAGUCUUUUCAAGGGCAUUAUAUUGCAUAUGCAGGUUCAUAGUCAGCUUCACUUGAAUAGUUGUUUUAUUUUUGGGUGGCAUUGAUUUUUUUAUUGCUGUUUGUGUGUUUUAUUUGCUGUGUUGCCGUAUUUUCUUUUUUAAAUUUAUAUCUUAUUGUGUUUCACCACAUUGAGGGCAUGCUGUUUUCCUGUGUGUUUCCUCGAAUACAAAUAAAGUCUCUUCUCCAUGUUGUAUUUAUUUCUAUUCCAAAUGAUCCGGUUGCUUUGCAUAUGAAAUGUUCUACCCUGCUUAACUUCAGCUGCUACUUGUCCAUGGAGGUGCAUCAUAUUUCAUGUGCAGGAUCGCAGUCCACUUCAGGUUUAUGUGGGUUUUUUGCUGUUGAU
Pelobates cultripes (western spadefoot toad) is the source of this 438-nucleotide non-coding RNA. The record is from the annotation of a GenBank genome assembly. NCBI's taxonomy places the organism in Eukaryota, Metazoa, Chordata, Amphibia, Anura, Pelobatidae.